This 453-nucleotide ribosomal RNA is filed under the name uncultured bacterium. RNAcentral's name for it is "bacterial SSU rRNA". It matches the Rfam family "Bacterial small subunit ribosomal RNA", at positions 340 to 786 of the family's 1533-position model. The record is from RNAcentral.
UACGGAAGGCAGCAGUGGGGAAUAUUGCACAAUGGGCGCAAGCCUGAUGCAGCCAUGCCGCGUGUAUGAAAAAGGCCUUCGGGUUGUAAAGUACUUUCAGUCGUGAGGAAGGUGUUAAGGUUAAUAACCUUAGCAAUUGACGUUAGCGACAGAAGAAGCACCGGCUAACUCCGUGCCAGCAGCCGCGGUAAUACGGAGGGUGCGAGCGUUAAUCGGAAUUACUGGGCGUAAAGGGCACGCAGGCGGUUAAUUAAGUUGGAUGUGAAAUCCCCGGGCUUAACCUGGGAAUGGCAUUCAAGACUGGUUAGCUAGAGUCUUGUAGAGGGGGUAGAAUUCCAUGUGUAGCGGUGAAAUGCGUAGAGAUGUGGAGGAAUACCGGUGGCGAAGGCGGCCCCUGGACAAAGACUGACGCUCAUGUGUGAAAGCGUGGGGAGCAAACAGGGAUUAGAUACC